GUGUAUGCCGCAACGACGCGCAACCCUUGUGCCUAUGUUGCCAGCGGGUAAUAGCCGGGGACUCGUAGGAGACUGCCGGGGUCAACUCGUGAGGAAGGUGGGGACGACGUCAAGUCAUCAUGCCCCUUACAUCCAGGGCUGCAAACAUGCUACAAUGGCCGGUACCAAGGGCUGCUAUCCCGCGAGGAUGGGCGAAUCCCAGAAAGCCGGACUCAGUUCGGAUCGGAGUCUGCAACUCGACUCCAUGAAGCCGGAGNUCGCUAGUAAUCCCGGAUCAGCAACGCCGGGGUGAAUACGUUCCCGGGCCUUGUACACANCCGACCCGUCACACCACGAGACGNUUGGUAGACAGCCCGAAAGCCCGGGAUGGNACCCAACCCGUUAGAAUGGAUGGGNAAGCCCCGAUCCGAAAACGGGUUGGGGAAGCCCAAGNCNGNAAUUUUGGGAGGNUAGAAGAGUUGCGUUUAAACAAUNNGGUANGACCCGNUAGCCNGGNANCAGGUGCCNGGACUGGGAAUUNCACCCAUNCCGUCUUUCNUCAAUNGNAGGAUUGCCACANCCCCUACGGUUUCCCACACNGUCCGCCCCNAGCGCCA
This 596-nucleotide ribosomal RNA is filed under the name uncultured bacterium. RNAcentral's name for it is "bacterial SSU rRNA". The stretch from base 1 to 436 matches the Rfam family "Bacterial small subunit ribosomal RNA", at positions 1080 to 1533 of the family's 1533-position model. The record is from RNAcentral.